Molecule: ribosomal RNA, 253 nt
Filed under: uncultured bacterium
Lineage: Bacteria
Description: partial 16S ribosomal RNA
Rfam family: Bacterial small subunit ribosomal RNA
Source: RNAcentral
UACGUAGGGUGCGAGCGUUAAUCGGAAUUACUGGGCGUAAGGCGUGCGUAGGCUGCUUCGCAAGUCAGGCGUGAAAUCCCCGGGCUCAACCUGGGAAUGGCGUCUGAAACUACGGAGCUAGAGUGUGGCAGAGGGAGGUAGAAUUCCACGUGUAGCGGUGAAAUGCGUAGAUAUGUGGAGGAGUACCGAUGGCGAAGGCAGCCUCCUGGGCCAACACUGACGCUCAUGCACGAAAGCGUGGGGAGCAAACAGG